UAGGGAAUCUUCCACAAUGGACGCAAGUCUGAUGGAGCAACGCCGCGUGAGUGAAGAAGGUUUUCGGAUCGUAAAGCUCUGUUGUUGGUGAAGAAGGAUAGAGGUAGUAACUGGCCUUUAUUUGACGGUAAUCAACCAGAAAGUCACGGCUAACUACGUGCCAGCAGCCGCGGUAAUACGUAGGUGGCAAGCGUUGUCCGGAUUUAUUGGGCGUAAAGCGAGCGCAGGCGGAAGAAUAAGUCUGAUGUGAAAGCCCUCGGCUUAACCGAGGAACUGCAUCGGAAACUGUUUUUCUUGAGUGCAGAAGAGGAGAGUGGAAUUCCUUGUGUAGCGGUGGAAUGCGUAGAUAUAUGGAAGAACACCAGUGGCGAAGGCGACUCUCUGGUCUGCAACUGACGCUGAGGCUCGAAAGCAUGGGUAGCGAACAGG
Molecule: ribosomal RNA, 429 nt
Filed under: Bacillota bacterium
Lineage: Bacteria; Bacillati; Bacillota
Description: Firmicutes bacterium partial 16S ribosomal RNA
Rfam family: Bacterial small subunit ribosomal RNA
Source: RNAcentral